Molecule: ribosomal RNA, 582 nt
Filed under: uncultured beta proteobacterium
Lineage: Bacteria; Pseudomonadati; Pseudomonadota; Betaproteobacteria
Description: bacterial SSU rRNA
Rfam family: Bacterial small subunit ribosomal RNA
Source: RNAcentral
GUGCCCAAUCGUGGGGGAUAACGUAGCGAAAGCUACGCUAAUACCGCAUACGAUCUACGGAUGAAAGCGGGGGAUCGCAAGACCUCGCGCGAGUGGAGCGGCCGAUGGCAGAUUAGGUAGUUGGUGGGGUAAAGGCUCACCAAGCCUGCGAUCUGUAGCUGGUCUGAGAGGACGACCAGCCACACUGGGACUGAGACACGGCCCAGACUCCUACGGGAGGCAGCAGUGGGGAAUUUUGGACAAUGGGCGCAAGCCUGAUCCAGCCAUUCCGCGUGCAGGAUGAAGGCCCUCGGGUUGUAAACUGCUUUUGUACGGAACGAAAAGGCCUUUUCUAAUACAGAGGGCUCAUGACGGUACCGUAAGAAUAAGCACCGGCUAACUACGUGCCAGCAGCCGCGGUAAUACGUAGGGUGCAAGCGUUAAUCGGAAUUACUGGGCGUAAAGCGUGCGCAGGCGGUGAUGUAAGACAGAUGUGAAAUCCCCGGGCUCAACCUGGGAACUGCAUUUGUGACUGCAUCGCUGGAGUGCGGCAGAGGGGGAUGGAAUUCCGCGUGUAGCAGUGAAAUGCGUAGAUAUGCGGAG